CAUGAAUCUCACUAAGGGUCAGUUUGCCCCAUAGAGUUAUGCAAUAGCAGGGCCUCUGCAUUGGAGAACUCCAGAGGGCACCAUUGGGUUAUAUUUUAUGUUUGCCUAACCUUCAUUGCAGUGAGUAGGUGCAUUCUUUCCACAAUGUCCUGAGGUCUAAAGGGGUAGAGUUCUGUGUGUGGCAUUUGAGUCCUGAAAAGAUGGGAGCCCACAAAACUGGAGAAAUACUGCAGACAGAGUCUUGCUCUGUCGCCAGGUUGGAGUGCAGCACCACGAUCUCGGCUCACUGCCACCUCCGCCUCCUGGGUUCAAGCGAUUCGUCUGCCUCAGCCUCCCAAAGAUCCCAGACCACCACUCAUGAUGCCAGGCUGGAGGAAGUAGCAGGCUAGAGGAAUUCAGGACAGAUGAGUCAGGAAAGAGGACCCAAUGCAGAGCUCACAUCCCACCUUCCUCUCCCAUGGCAAAGCACUGACAAACCCCUGCCAAAGGUGAAGCUCAGCUGCAAAGCAGUGUGGAGCUGGACCCAGGAUAGAUUCACCCGGAGCUCACCACCGCAGGGAAUGCUGCACUUUGACCAGGCAGAAUGUAUCCUCCAUGCCCACAGAGCAUGUGCCUGGGGUUGAAUCUCACUGUAUCUCACCCCAGUUCCUCAUGAUGGGCCCCAAACCUCUUCUUUUAUAGUAAUAAAGAAAACACAC
RNAcentral lists this long non-coding RNA (698 nucleotides) under Callithrix jacchus (white-tufted-ear marmoset). Its description in RNAcentral is "lncRNA (ENSCJAG00000065414.2)". Lineage: Eukaryota; Metazoa; Chordata; Mammalia; Primates; Cebidae. The record is from RNAcentral.